This 404-nucleotide ribosomal RNA is filed under the name uncultured eukaryote. Its description in RNAcentral is "SSU rRNA". It matches the Rfam family "Eukaryotic small subunit ribosomal RNA", at positions 570 to 990 of the family's 1831-position model. The record is from RNAcentral.
GCACCUGCGGUAAUUCCAGCUCCAAUAGCGUAUAUUAAAGUUGUUGCAGUUAAAAAGCUCGUAGUUGAACUUCUGUACAGUCUCACUUCUGGCUUCGGUCAAGGUGUUGGCUGUGCAUCCGCUUGCAAAGCUGGUUCGGCCUUAACUGGUCGGCUAGUAGAGUAAGCCCUUUACUUUGAAAAAAUUAGAGUGUUUCAGGCAGGCAAUGGCUCGAAUACAUUAGCAUGGAAUAAUGGAAUAGGACUUUUGUCCAUUUGGUUGGUUCUUGGACUUAAGUAAUGAUUAAAAGGGACAGUUGGGGGCAUUGGUAUUUAACAGUCAGAGGUGAAAUUCUUGGAUUUGUUAAAGACUAACUUAUGCGAAAGCAUUUGCCAAGGAUGUUUUCAUUGAUCAAGAACGAAAGU